Molecule: ribosomal RNA, 460 nt
Filed under: uncultured bacterium
Lineage: Bacteria
Description: partial 16S ribosomal RNA
Rfam family: Bacterial small subunit ribosomal RNA
Source: RNAcentral
CCUACGGGAGGCAGCAGUGAGGAAUAUUGGUCAAUGGACGAGAGUCUGAACCAGCCAAGUAGCGUGAAGGAUGACUGCCCUAUGGGUUGUAAACUUCUUUUAUAAAGGAAUAAAACGAGGCACGUGUGCCUUUUUGCAUGUACUUUAUGAAUAAGGAUCGGCUAACUCCGUGCCAGCAGCCGCGGUAAUACGGAGGAUCCGAGCGUUAUCCGGAUUUAUUGGGUUUAAAGGGAGCGUAGAUGGGUUGUUAAGUCAGUUGUGAAAGUUUGCGGCUCAACCGUAAAAUUGCAAUUGAUACUGGCAGUCUUGAGUACAGUUGAGGUAGGCGGAAUGCGUGGUGUAGCGGUGAAAUGCUUAGAUAUCACGAAGAACACCAGUGGCGAAGGCGGCCGCCUGGCCUGUUACUGACGCUGAGGCACGAAAGCGUGGGGAGCAAAUAGGAUUAGAUACCCUUGUAGUC